GGCCGACAGACACGAUGCCCCAGCGCAGCGCCAUGGUUGCGAUGCGGAGCCCUCGGCACCUUCGGUCCCUCCAGGCGCGAAUUAAGUACCUGACGCCCCGCCCACCCCGGGGGCGGGUCCCCAUCCUCCGCCCGUAUUGCGCCUACGCCGAUUCUCGUUGGCUCCAGUCGGCAGAGCGGUCAUUUAGUUCUAGCUUCCCCGCUGGGCGAAUGCACCGUUUAGCUCCGCCUUACAGAGGGAACCACACCUUGACGUCGCUUCUACAGAUCUCUUACCUAUGACUUUAGGCUCGUCGGAUACGCGGGGGACCCUGAGUGAAGGCUGCAGACUCAUCAGGGGCAGAUGGAAAAAUACCAGGAUUGAGCCUCUCAGAAGUGAUGCUUGAAUCCAGUCUUCAAAGAUGAGGACUCCGGCAGGUGACGUGGCAAUAGCGUUUUGGAGGGACCAGUCCAGAUACACAGGCAUGGAGCCAUGCAUUUGUUCCAGAAAGUGUAUUUGGAUGGAACCGGAACAUGGAACAGGACACACAGCAGGAUGCGGAGCAGUGUCAGAUGAGGCCAGAAAGGUGGGUGGGACUGGUCUUCAGGGGCUCCAGAUGAGGCUGGCGAUGAGAUGGCUGGAAGCCAGGGGUUCAGGGAGGCCCAGGCUCCUGGUAUCAGGGUUCACCGGCUAUACUGAGGAUCCCCUGCCCCUGGCACCCAGCUGUGGAGGGGACACUGUCUUUGAGGCAUCACUGGUUC
RNAcentral lists this long non-coding RNA (740 nucleotides) under Homo sapiens (human). Its description in RNAcentral is "HSALNT0261221". Lineage: Eukaryota; Metazoa; Chordata; Mammalia; Primates; Hominidae. The record is from RNAcentral.